AGUCAUAACAUCUUUCAGGGAUACCAAUAUGAAGACGUUUGUAAUUCUCGCUUUGUUAUUCUGCAUUUUCGGAUCUGUUCAUGAAUUUUCAGGCUGCGUUGAAGGUGCAGCUAUCAACAGUGCUACUCACAAUGAUUUCUUUCCUGGGUGUUGUUUUGACUGUCGUCCAGGAUGCACGUGCUGUAUAGAAGAUGUCUUUGGAUUUCAAGAAAACUAGUUAUUUGAAGUCUUUGAUUUGAAAUAAAAAUAGAUGCAAAAUA
This is a long non-coding RNA of Saccostrea cuccullata (small rock oyster), 260 nucleotides long. RefSeq lists it as uncharacterized. The record is from RefSeq and is a predicted model, not a curated record. NCBI's taxonomy places the organism in Eukaryota, Metazoa, Mollusca, Bivalvia, Ostreida, Ostreidae. The transcript has 4 exons.